GGCUGGAUCACCUCCUU
This 17-nucleotide ribosomal RNA is filed under the name Acholeplasma laidlawii. RNAcentral's name for it is "partial 16S rRNA". The record is from RNAcentral. Lineage: Bacteria; Bacillati; Mycoplasmatota; Mollicutes; Acholeplasmatales; Acholeplasmataceae.